GACGAACGCUGGCGGCGUGCUUAACACAUGCAAGUCGAACGAUGAAGCAGAGAAACGCGAUCUUUGGUUUAAAUUUCACUUCGGUUUAGUGGCAGACGGGAGAGUAACGCGUGAGCAACCUACCUCUUACAAAGGGAUAGCUACGGGAAACUGAGAUUAUUACCAUCUGACAUAUUAAUAAGGCAACUUAAGAAUGUUAAGGGUACGGCGGUAAGGGAUGGAAUUGCAUCCCAUUAGCUAGUUGGUGAGGUCACGGCCCACCAAGGUGACGGUGGGUAACCGGGCAGAGAGAGAGAGCGGUGACACUUAAACUGAGACACAGUCCAGACUCCUCCGGGAGGCAGCAGUGCGGAAUAGUGCACCAUGGAGGGAACGCUGAUGCUGCUACGCCGCGAGAGCGAUGAUAGAAGUCGUGACGUAAAGCUCAGUUCUAUGUGAAGAAAAUGACGGUACCAUAGGAGAAAGCCCCGGCUAAAUACGUG
Molecule: ribosomal RNA, 482 nt
Filed under: uncultured bacterium
Lineage: Bacteria
Description: partial 16S ribosomal RNA
Rfam family: Bacterial small subunit ribosomal RNA
Source: RNAcentral